Long non-coding RNA from Myotis brandtii (Brandt's bat), 980 nucleotides. RefSeq lists it as uncharacterized. Lineage: Eukaryota; Metazoa; Chordata; Mammalia; Chiroptera; Vespertilionidae. The transcript has 3 exons. The record is from RefSeq and is a predicted model, not a curated record.
CAGGGCCCUGAUAGGAAGGCCAGUGUAAAGGUUUAGCUGAAGAGCGUUUAACGAAGAGGUGACUUGCAGAGUUAAGAAGCAUGGAGUUUGAAGACCUCCGAUUUUAGAGUUUUAUCAACUCUGCCUCGUUGGAAGUUUUAGAAGCUUUGUCUCUGAGACCCCGGCUCUCUCUUUCUCCUGUCUCCUCCCUAAUCGGCUGGGAUCCUGUGCUACAGCAAGCUUAAGAAGUGCUACAUAUGAGGUCAGCCUGGGCUAUGAAGGGCGCAUUAAACAAAUCUCAUUUGGACUAGAGCUCCUUGGGUCCUCAGAACCAUCAGAGGCCCUGGCAGGCCCCCAUGCCAGCAAGGACUUCCCUCCCAUUCCUUCUGGAUGAGGACUAUCCGCAGGAGGGAGCACACCUGACCAGCGGAGUUCUGUCUGCUGUAAGAUCCCUCGGCCUCUUCCUCCUUUCAUCCUUCCCCUGGUGAGCCAAGGGGAGUCUCCUGGGAGCUUGUGAAACAGAUCCCGGCCCCUCCCUGGAGGCGCUGACUCCGGAGUGCACCAGGUGAUUCUUAACAACCAGGCAGGCUGGAGAGACCCAUGGAGACAGCUGCUCUGCUGGGAGCUGUGGCUGCCACCCUGAGAGGGAGAAGGUGUUCACAGCAUGGCAGAUGCUGAGCCUCUGUCAGGGACAGGGAUGAUGUUUUCACUAGGCCACGCGUCCCAAGACAGGACAGGCGGGCCCAUAGAGGCUUCUGCAGGCCAAGAGGAAUGAACGCAAAAGCCACCCAAGCAGCCUCCUGUGGCCCAAGUUCCCCAAGAGGACGGGAAGCCGGCAGCUCAGCCACCAGAACUAUAGGGGACACCCGAAAACCAAGAUCCCAACAGCCAAGAGGGGAAAAGCCCGAAUAUGCGGACCUGGCUGUUUUUUAAGACGAUUCAGUUCUGGGGCCUGGGAGAAUGCAAAGGAAAAUGCCUGGUUGUCCCUAAGUAACCUGUGA